This 750-nucleotide ribosomal RNA is filed under the name uncultured bacterium. RNAcentral describes it as "bacterial SSU rRNA". It matches the Rfam family "Bacterial small subunit ribosomal RNA", at positions 43 to 791 of the family's 1533-position model. The record is from RNAcentral.
CAGGCCUAACACAUGCAAGUCGAGCGAGAAAGCCCUUCGGGGUGAGUACAGCGGCGGACGGGUGAGUAACGCGUAGGAAUCUACCUAGUAGUGGGGGACAACUCGUGGAAACGCGAGCUAAUACCGCAUACGCCCUACGGGGGAAAGCGGGGGAUCUUCGGACCUCGUGCUAUUAGAUGAGCCUGCGUAAGAUUAGCUAGUUGGUGGGGUAAUGGCCUACCAAGGCGACGAUCUUUAGCUGGUCUGAGAGGAUGAUCAGCCACACCGGGACUGAGACACGGCCCGGACUCCUACGGGAGGCAGCAGUCGGGAAUAUUGCGCAAUGGGCGAAAGCCUGACGCAGCCAUGCCGCGUGUGUGAAGAAGGCCCUAGGGUUGUAAAGCACUUUCAAUUGGGAGGAAAAGCUAAUGGUUAAUAGCCAUUAGCCCUGACGUUACCUUUAGAAGAAGCACCGGCUAACUUCGUGCCAGCAGCCGCGGUAAUACGGAGGGUGCAAGCGUUAAUCGGAAUUACUGGGCGUAAAGCGCGCGUAGGCGGUUUUUUAAGUCGGAUGUGAAAGCCCCGGGCUCAACCUGGGAAUUGCAUCCGAUACUGGAUAACUAGAAUGCGGGAGAGGGAGGUAGAAUUCCAUGUGUAGCAGUGAAAUGCGUAGAUAUAUGGAGGAAUACCAGUGGCGAAGGCGGCCUCCUGGCUCGACAUUGACGCUGAGGUGCGAAAGCGUGGGGAGCAAACGGGAUUAGAUACCCCGGU